CCUACGGGAGGCAGCAGUGAGGAAUAUUGGUCAAUGGACGAGAGUCUGAACCAGUCAAGUAGCGUGAAGGAUGACUGCCCUAUGGGUUGUAAACUUCUUUUAUAUGGGAAUAAAACGUUCCACGUGUGGGAUUUUGUAUGUACCAUAUGAAUAAGGAUCGGCUAACUCCGUGCCAGCAGCCGCGGUAAUACGGAGGAUCCGAGCGUUAUCCGGAUUUAUUGGGUUUAAAGGGAGCGUAGGUGGAUUGUUAAGUCAGUUGUGAAAGUUUGCGGCUCAACCGUAAAAUUGCAGUUGAAACUGGCAGUCUUGAGUACAGUAGAGGUGGGCGGAAUUCGUGGUGUAGCGGUGAAAUGCUUAGAUAUCACAAAGAACUCCGAUUGCGAAGGCAGUUCACUGGACUGCAACUGACACUGAGGCUCGAAAGUGUGGGUAUCAAACAGGAUUAGAUACCCGGGUAGUC
RNAcentral lists this ribosomal RNA (460 nucleotides) under uncultured bacterium. RNAcentral describes it as "partial 16S ribosomal RNA". It matches the Rfam family "Bacterial small subunit ribosomal RNA", at positions 338 to 795 of the family's 1533-position model. The record is from RNAcentral.